RNAcentral lists this ribosomal RNA (492 nucleotides) under uncultured bacterium. Its description in RNAcentral is "partial 16S ribosomal RNA". It matches the Rfam family "Bacterial small subunit ribosomal RNA", at positions 29 to 507 of the family's 1533-position model. The record is from RNAcentral.
AGUGAACGCUGGCGGUAGGCCUAACACAUGCAAGUCGAACGGCAGCACAGUAAGAGCUUGCUCUUACGGGUGGCGAGUGGCGGACGGGUGAGGAAUACAUCGGAAUCUACUUUUUCGUGGGGGAUAACGUAGGGAAACUUACGCUAAUACCGCAUACGACCUACGGGUGAAAGCAGGGGAUCUUCGGACCUUGCGCGAUUGAAUGAGCCAAUGUCGGAUUAGCUAGUUGGCGGGGUAAAGGCCCACCAAGGCGACGAUCCGUAGCUGGUCUGAGAGGAUGAUCAGCCACACUGGAACUGAGACACAGCCCAGACUCCUACGGGAGGCAGCAGUGGGGAAUAUUGGACAAUGGGCGCAAGCCUGAUCCAGCCAUACCGCGUGGGUGAAGAAGGCCUUCGGGUUGUAAAGCCCUUUUGUUGGGAAAGAAAAGCAGCAGGUUAAUACCCCGCUGUUCUGACGGUACCCAAAGAAUAAGCACCGGCUAACUUCGUG